Molecule: long non-coding RNA, 10532 nt
Filed under: Gossypium barbadense (sea-island cotton)
Lineage: Eukaryota; Viridiplantae; Streptophyta; Magnoliopsida; Malvales; Malvaceae
Description: long non-coding RNA (GBAR_LNC020198)
Source: RNAcentral
UUGGCACGCCAAUGUGUUCACAGAAAACCGAUUAGACAAUCGAUCCUUUCGGAAUUCCAACUGUACGUCUAGCCACACUAAAUCAAACGACGUCUUUUUUGACUUAAUGUUGAUCUGACUUUGUGAGUUUACAAAAUCAUACUCUUAAUCCGGAGAAAUAAUAAGUACUGGAAUUUAGGAGUUAAAUUGCUCGGGUUCGUAACUCACAGGUUUUGACGAGGCUAAUUCUGACCUAAAGUUGAAAAUGGAUUUAGUUAACUAAGGUUUGGGGCAUAUUGGAGUUGGAUAAAUUAAAUAAGGUAAAAAUGGGUGAAACAGAUGGGUGGCGUGAUUAAGUAUGGGGGCUGGAUUUUGGUAGUGUAUUAAAGUGGGAUGGUUAGCUACUGGAAAUGAAAAGGAAGUUUGAAAACGAAAUUGUAAAUGGUUUAAGUGGUAACAAGCUGGAAAUUAAUGAAUUGAAAGAAAAAGGAAACUAAGAACAACAAAUAAUUUCGUGAGUAGAAAGGAGGAAUUGCAUUUAAAGAUGAAAGCUUGAUUUAUCACUUGAUGAAUAAAUGAACAAUGUAGCCUCCUAUUUAUACUAGUGGCCUUGCUAAAUUAAGAGCCACUAAUCAUAGAAAAUCAAGGGAAUAAAAUAUUAAAAAUCCCUACAUAAUCUCCCACUAAGUCAACAAAAAUUUCAGCUAAUUAUAUCUUGGAAAAAUUCUGCUUUGGCCCUCCUUCUUUGCUUCUUUCUUCAAUCUAGCCCAAUUGUUUCCUUUUUCUUCUAUUUAGCCCCAAAUUGCAUCCCUGUAUAAAAUUCAACAUAAACAUGGAAAAAUUAGUGGUGCACUCUCAUAAAUUAACCAAUUUAAUUACAUAAAAUAUGUAAUUUUAGCAUUUAAUCGAAUCCCCCUACUUAGUUCAUGCUAGUCCUCGAGCAUUAUGCAUAUAUCUGCAAAAGGAAAAAUUUCCUCCAAAAUAGGACUUGACCCUCAUGGUUUGCACAAUUCAACAAUUUAAUCCUAGCACAUUAACAUCUCACAUAACCUAGCCUAAGAAGUAAGUAAAUAUAUUUCAGAAUUUAUUAGAGCUUGAUAGACUUACCUUUCAUUUUAUUAUUUUUGUACUUAGGACAUUUUCGAAUUUUUUGACGCGAGACAUGAUGACAACCCAAGCACCAUAUUCCGGUUACUCAAUUCGGACGUUUUUAAGCGGGUUAUUUCGCCCUACCCAUGAUAACUUGUUAGCGGAGUGAGUGCAAAGAAAUUGGACAGCCACACGAACCUUUUUACGCGAGAUGUGAUGACAACCCAAGCACUACGUUCCAGUUACUCAGCCGAUGUACAACCCCAAUUUUUCACCCUUAACAUUCGUAUCAGAAGAGUAUUAUUAUUUAUUUUUAUUAUUUUAUUAUUUUAUUAUUUUAUAUUUAUUUUUUUGCAUUCAAAAAUUUGACAUGUGAUAAAAUGUAGACAGUCAAGCAAACUCAUAAUUCCCAAAAAUUUCUUACCCACUAAAUCUAGGUUAUUGAAGAGUUUUAUGUGUAAAGAACUAAAUAGCUAAAUAGGUUAAACCAUAAGUGUACCAUCCCAACUUAUCAACAGAAAAAUUUUACCUUUUACCGAAAACAUGCAAAAAUAGCGAUGACAGAUAAGCAAAAUAGAACUGAUAUUUAUAUUCCUCUCCCCCUACUUAUUGUACAUUGUCCCAAUGUAAUUAUAUUAAGGAUAAAAAGUAAAAGUAAGUAGGUAAAAGAAGAAAAAUGAACUCUCCAUGUAUUUCAACGUCGUGGAGGGUGGUCUCGUAGGUGUGUGAGAACGUCUGUCACUAAGGUACGUAAAGAGUUGAGUCCUUCCUUGAUUCGGGUUAACCGAGAUUCGAUGAAAGUUGGAGGCUCCGGUCCGUGCUGGUUUCUUCGUCGGAACACUCUAUGCAACCGAUCCGUUCUUGUACUUAGAUGAACAAAAUAAAAAGAAGAAGGGGUACCGCCAAGUAACCCCAUAGAAUCCAAGCAGUACGUAUCUAAAGAGUCCAUUUUGUAUUCCAAAUUCAAAGAACUAAAAUUGAUAGCUGAUGGAUUCAAAUUGGAGGCUAAACGUAUGAUGUAGGUACCCAAAACUAGUGGCCGAUUCGACCGCAAAACAUGCUGAAACUGAAUAGCAAACCAAUAGCCUAAAUUCACCUUCCUACCCGAAUGCAUGUACCAUAGAAAAAAUAAUUCAGUUCUAGUUAAAGAGGCAGACGCAUCAUUACGUCCGAAAAAAUUAAAAGUAAGGAAUCGAUGUAUGUAUCGAAGUGUAGGACUAUGAAUUCCUAUGUCCUUGCAACGUUUUGGAUUGUACGAAAUCUAUCUCAUUUCAGUUAACAAUGCUAAAGCUUCAUUAGCAUCAAAGUCAGAUGGUAUGUCGAGAAAUGAGUUUUAAUAGUCAUCAAUUGCUAAAUAGUCGUCAGUAACGAAUCCCAAAGCAACAUUAAUUAAACUCAGAAAUAGACAGAUUAUAAUGCACACCUAGCAAGCAAAAAUUGACAGCAUGAGGCAUAUCUAUGGUGUUAGCAGAACGGUCAAAGUAAAAUGUAGAAUAAAAUUCAAAAACCAACUCAUAAUAUGCAGGUUCAUCAAUAGCAGCAAAAUAUGUCCACCCAAUAGCAUCAAAAUAUUGAUUAACAGAUUCUUCAAUAUCUAAAGAAUAUAAUGAGAAUAAGUCGACGUGCUUACAUAUUGGAAGAGGGCGAUGUUGGAUUUGUUCGAAUUGUGCUUGAUGUGCCGGGUUCGUGAACGUUAGAUUCCCGUGAAAUCUUUUCUCCGAGGGCAUUGAUCCUCUUCCUUGUCGAAUUUAACCUCGCUCACGUGGGUGAUACUCAGUGUCCUGAUUUUCCGUUUCAUUUUUACAAUAUUCGGCAUUGUCUGCUGACGAAGUUGAUGAACCGGUUAAAGGUAGCUGUUGGCGACCUCGGGUUCGUCUUUGCGUUGAAUGUGAUUCAGUACCAUCGUUCGGGGGUCACGGAAUUCUUAUCGAAGGCCCCGGUUGUGUUGGUUGAUGUACAUGGAUGUUUGGUCGGGGGGAUGGAUGGUCUUGGCUGUCGAAUGAGUUUGGUGGUUCGAUCGAGCUGUUUGGAGGAUGGUCGGCCGAAUUGGGUAGCUCAUGGGGCGGGUAGACUACGGCGAUCGAAGUUGGGCUGCGGUUUCUUCUAGGACAACGCGGUUGCGGCGGCGGAGAUAGAGGAGACUCGUCGGAGUCGAUGGUAACGAAAGGUAGGGCGGUGAAAUGGUUUUGUCGUCGGUUUAUUAUGGAAGGUGGUUCAUGCGCCGUGUGGUCGCGAGUGCGGACCAUGGUUUGGUGGUGGACGGUGGUGAGUGGUGGUAAAAAGGGAAGGGGUUUAUGAAGAGAAAAAGAAAUUUUGAAGAAAGGUUUUAGUGAGAAACAUUCGGCUGGUCAAAUGGGGGGUAAUUGGGGAUUUGAUUGGUGAAAGUGUUUUACUUGUUUGAGGAGAGUGGUAGUGGAGUUUUAAUUUCCUAGGUGAAAAAGUAUGAUUUGAUGGGUGAAAGGGUUUUUUCUUAAUUUGAAAAGAAAUGGACGGUUGGGAAGAGAGGGAAGGGUUAAAAUGGGGGAGUGGGAUUGUAGUUUUCUAGGUGAAAAGUUGGAUGUGAUAGGUGAAAUAUUAGGAUUUGAUAGGUGAAAGGUUGAUGGGUAUAUGGUUUUUUUUAAUAUUUGAAAAGGGGUGGACGGUUGGGGGUAAAAAUUUGGGUUUUUGAUUUUUGAUUUUUUUAUUGGGAAGGGUGGUUCCCUUUUUUGGGGGGGAGGUUUAUUUUUUUUAGGUUUGAAUUUGGGUAGGUAUGAUAGGUUUGGCUUUUGGUUAAAUGGGUUAGCUUUGGUAUUAGAUUGGUGAGUCACUAUAGACAUUCUUAAGUACCAAGUCUUUCCUUAGACAGAACUGAUCCUUGACAUGCAUUUUCAUUUUCCGUUUUACCAAAAAAAUUAUUUGUAUAAAGGGAAAAUUUUGGGUUGCCUCCCAACAGUGCUUUGUUUAACGUCGUUAGCUCGACGACCUGUUAUUCAAAUUCUGGGCUCCUCGAGAACAAUCUCAUCAACUGUGUGCGUUUGAAAAUUCUCAUAGAAGGGUUUCCGUCGUUGACCAUUCACCUUAAAGCACUUCCGGGUUUCUUCGAUUUGAAUUUCCACUGCACCAUUUGAGAAUAAAUUAGUAAUAGUAAAUGGACCUAUCCAUUUGGAUCGAAGCUUACCAGCGAAAGUUUUUAAGGUAGAGUCAUAUAGGAGAACUUUUUGUCCUAUUGAAAACUGCUUACUAGUGAUCAUCUUAUUGUGGAACGCCUUCGUCUUUUCUUUAUAAAUUCGAGCAUUUUCAUAUGCAUUGUUUCUAAUUUCCUCGAGUUCCUGAAUGUCCAACUUUCGAGCCCUUCCUGCAGUCUCCAUCUCCAUAUUACAUUGUUUAACUGCCCAAAAUGCCUUGUGCUCUAAUUCGACCGGGAGAUGGUACGAUUUACCAAAAAAGAGUCGAUAAGGUGACAUGCCUAUUGGUCUCUUGUAAGCUGUCCUAUAAGCCCAAAGUGCGUCAUUUAGUCUCAAGCUCCAAUCCUUUCUGUUAGGUUUAACAGUCUUCUCCAAGAUGGACUUGAUUUCUUGAUUUGACACUUCAGUUUGCCCGAUUGUUUGUGGAUGGUAAGUAGUGGCAAUUUGUUGAGUCACUCCAUAUUUCUCCAUAAGUGCACUUACGAGCUUAUUGCAGAAAUGAGUUCCUCUGUCACUGAUUAAUGCUCGUGGGGUCUAUACCUGGAAAAGAUAGAACUUUUAAGAAAGUCAACCAUAGUCUUAGCAUUAUCAUUGCAAGUAGCCUUUGCCUCUAUCCACUUAGAAACGUAAUCAACUGCUAAGAGUAUAUAAAAAUUACCAAAAGAAGAAACGAAAGCACCCAUAAAAUCGAUACCCCACACAUCAAAAAUUUUGCAAAUAUGAAUAGCAGUAAGGGGCAUCUCAUUUAGACGACUAAGAUUGCCAACUUUUUGGCAUCUUUCACAGGUUUUGCAGAAUAAAAAGGCAUCACGAAAUAUGUUUGGCCAAAAUAGUCCACAUUCAAGAAUUUUAUGUGUAGUGCAUUUUGGUCCAAAGUGUCCUCCACAUACAUAAGAAUUACAAAAAGUUAAGAUAGACUGUACCUCUGUUUCUGCUACACACCGUCGAAUUACCUGAUCGGAGCAAUGCUUCCAAAGGUAAGGAUCGUCCAAAAUGUAGUACCGUGCAUCCUUUUUAAUCUUUUCUUUCUUGGACCUUGGUAAUUCCGAAGGAACAGUACCUGUAACAAGAUAAUUUACUAUGUCUGCGUACCAAGGAUGAACCGCAUUUGCUGAAAAUAGGUUUUCAUCAGGGAAGUUGUCUUUUAAUGGUGUGUCGUCUACUAGAAUCGGUAAUCGACUCAGAUGGUCAGCUACUAAGUUUUCGCAUCCCUUUUUAUCCCGAAUUUCAAAAUCGAACUCUUGUAGGAGCAGAAUCCACCUAAUCAGUCGAGGUUUUGCCUCAUUCUUCCAUAUUAAAUAUUUCAAAGCUGCAUGAUCAGAAAAGAUAAUCACUUUAUUUCCCAAUAGGUAAGAUUUAAAUUUGUCUAAAGCAAACACAAUAACUAAUAAUUCUUUCUCAGUUGUUGUGUAAUUACUUUGGGUAGCAUCUAGUUUCUUCGAAGCAUAGUAGAUAACAUGAGGCUCUUUCCCUGUUCUUUGGCCAAGAACGGCUCCCACACUUCGAUCACUUGCAUCACACAUGAUUUCGAACGGGAAGUUCCAAUUUGGUGGUUGCACUAUGGGAGCGGAAACCAAUUUCUGCUUUAAUAAGUCAAAUGCGUCUUUACAAGUUUGGUUAAAUUCAAAUUCUUUAUCCUUUUGUAAUAUACUGCAAAGCGGUUGCUCGAUCUUCGAGAAGUCUUUUAUGAAUCGUCUAUAAAAUCCCGCAUUACUAAGAAAUGAACGUACUCCCCUCACAGAUGUGGGGUAAGGUAAUGAGUCAAUAAUAUCUGUUUUUGCUUUAUCGACCUCAAUACCUUCUGAGGAAACUAUAAGACCCAAAAUUAAUCCUUUGUCAACCAUGAAGUGGCAUUUUUCAUAAUUUAAAACAAGAUUAAGUUCUAGGCAUCUUUGUAAUAUCUUAGCAAGAUUAUCGAGACAUCCGUUAAAAGAGUUACCAUACACCGUGAAGUUAUCCAUGAAGACUUCAAUGAUUUUCUCGACAUAAUCGAAGAAUAUGCUCACCAUACAUCUCUGGAAAGUGGCCGGAGCAUUACAGAGUCCAAACGGCAUUUGUCUAUACGCAAACGUUCCAAAGGGGUACGUGAAAGUUGUUUUGUCUUGAUCCUCAAGUGCCACCGGAAUUUGGAAAAAUCCUGAGUACCCAUCGAGACAACAAUAAUGGGUCUUACCCGCUAAUCGCUUUUAGUAUUUGAUCGAUGAAGGGGAGUGGAAAAUGGUCUUUCUGGUAGCCGCAUUCAACUUCCUGUAAUCGAUGUAAACCCUCCAUCCAUUCUAGACUCGGGUAGGGACUAGCUCUCCUGAUGAGUUUUUCACCACUGUCACACCAGUUUUCUUAGGCACGACAUGAACCGGGCUAACCCAAACACUGCCGGAGAUCGGGUAUAUCAUUCCAGCAUCCAACAGUUUUUGGAUCUCCUUCUUUACUACCUCCAUCAUGGGUGGAUUAAGGCGUCUUUGAGCAUCUCUCUUUAGUUUCGUGUUAUCUUCGAUGGAAAUUCUAUACAUACAGGUGGAUGGACUUGGCCCUUUUAUAUCGGCUACUGUCCAACCAAUAGCCUCCUUAUAAUCCCUCAGAACUCGAACUAGACUUUCCUCCUCGUCUUUGGUUAGUUUGUUUGACACUAUCACCGGUAAGGUGUCUUUCUCUCCCAAAAAGACGUACUUGAGGUGGUCCGGUAAUGCUUUAAGCUCCAAGGUUGGCAGCUGCAAAACCGAAGGUAACAUUUUAUUUCGGGAAGGUAAUUGUUCAAUUUGGUUACCUCGAUUCGUCAACGAUGGUUGCAUCUCCAACUGUUUGACAAUUUCUCGCAACGGAUCUCCUAUAAUUGAUAAUUCCUCGAGACGACUUAAAACAUCCAUGUCAAUGUUUCUAUAAAGGACAGUUUCUAACUCAUCAAAGUCAUGAUAUUCGAGAUAAGAUUGAGUUAAACAAUCUAUAUUAUCGAUACUAGAAAUAUUAAAUUGUGAGUUAGGAUGACUCAUAGCUUCGUAUACAUUGAAUUUCACGAUUUCGUCAUCAAACUCCAUUGUCAGUGUUCCGCUCCGAACAUCAAUUUUUGCGCUUGCGGUACUUAGAAACGACCUUCCAAGAAAAAUGUCAGACGAAUUAGUUGAGUUAUCAUCCUCUAUAUUAAUAAUGUAGAAAACUGCAGGGAAAACUAAUUCGUUAAGUUUAACCCGGACGUCUUCAAGCAACCCUUCGGGAUAGAUGACUGACCUGUUCGCCAACUGGAUUAUUACUUCUGUCUUUUUCAAAGGACCCGCGUUAAUCAACUUAUAAAUAGGAUAAAGCAUAACAUUAAUGGAAGCCCCUAAAUCACACAUGGCUUUCCUAAUGCCUACAUUACCUAUCGUACAGGAAAUAGCAAACAUACAUUGGUCCUUGUAUUUGGGCGGAACUUUCUUUUGUAGUACUGCAGAGACAUUUUCUCCUACAUUUACUCUUUUGUUACUUAUUAACCUCCUCUUGCUAGUACACAAUUCCUUGAGGAAUUUUGCAUAACGAGGGAUUUGUUUGAUAGCGUCGAGCAAAGGGAUAUUUACCUCCACCUUAUUGAAUGUUUUGAGGAUUUAUUUUUCCUCCUUCUCUUUCUUAUCCUUCGUGAGCCUCCCUAGAAAAGGAGGUGGCAUCACAACUGGUUUCUAAAUUUCUGAUUCUGGUCUGGCUUUCGGAUCAGAGAUCUACUUUUCCCGUUCAUUGUCUUGCCCAUGACUUUUGUCUGGAACUAUUUCCAAAACUUUUCCGCUACAAAGAGUUAUUGCACUUGCAUUCUACCGAGGAUUCGGCUCUGUCUGGGAAGGUAAUUUACCUUGAGAAUCCAAACGAUUAACCACCAUCGAGAGUUUACUAACUUGAUUAGUUAACUCUUGUAUUGAUGCGUCUGUUCUUUGUUGGUAUUUUGCAGCAUCGACGGUAAAUCUCUCCAUAAUAGCUUCUAGAGAUGUACUCGGCUUGGGUGGCAGUUACGGUGGUUGCAGAGGUCUCGGUUGGUAUGAUGAAUUAUAUCAGGGAUUAGUUCUGUAAUUCAAGUUGAGAUGAUCCUUCCACCCUAGAUUGUAUGUGUUGGAGAAAGGAUCAUAGCGUCUUUGCGGAGGUCCCGGAAAGCCUCCGACAGCGUCAACAUGUGCCAUUGAAUUUUCAUUAAGGAUUGGGCACAAAUCCGUCGGAUGUUCAGAUGUAGUACAAAUUUCACACAGUUGGGUCAGAUUCUUCUUUUCUGUAAGCAUAGAUUGAACAAUAUUAGUGAGCUUAUCCAAUUUAUCUUCUAAGGAUGAAACGUUUACCCCAUUAACCCGUUUUGUGGGUUCUGAAUUUGGCUGAUACUGUUGAGAAUUUGUCGCCAUGGUGGAUAUCAGUUCUCUUUCCCUUUGUGGAGUCUUACUGACAAGCGCCCCUCCACUAGCAGUUCCAAUCAUGUUCAUUUCCAUAGGGAGCAGACCCUCGUAGAAAUACUAAAGAAGUGAUUGUUUGGUCAAACCGUGUUGAGGACAACUUGCACACAGUUUUUGUAUCGCUCCCAAUAGUCAUAGAGCGAUUCACUCUCCAUUUGGCUAAUUCCCACUAUGUCUCUCCUAAGUUCACCUGCUCCCGAUGCUGGGAAAAAUUUGUCAAGAAAAACAUGAGAUAAGUCAUCCCACAUUGUAAUAGAACUGAAGGGUAAGUAAAAAAAUCAUUCACUUGCUGUACCAACUAAAGAAAAUAGAAAUGCCCGAAGUUUAAUUUCAUCUUCGGUUACUCCCUGAGGUUUCAUGCUUGAGCAGACCAUGUCGAAUUCUCUCAAGUGAGUGUGUGGAUUUUUAUUCUUCAAGCCUCGAAAAGGGGUCAAAAGGUGGAUCAGGCCUGACUUCAACUCGAACGGGGUUUCUCCGGCUAGAUAGUUGAUGCAUAACGGUGUUUGCUCGUUGGGAGCAGCGACUAGUUGAUGAAUGGUUCGGUUUUCCAUCCUUUCUAGUUCACCAACUUUUGCUUCUUUCGUUUCAAAAAGUGCUUCGGUCUCAAGUUUAACAACUUCGACUUGUUUCCCACGUUGAAUUGCCUCUGCAAGAAUUGCUUAGCUCAACCUUUCGACGUCGGAUUCUAGGAUCCCUUGUCCUAGCUCAACUUCUGUUUUACUUGCAAGUUUAAGAGCUUUUGUCUCUUUUCGUUGUGCUCGUGCUGAUUUCUUGAUCUCUAGGUUGUAUUCGAGAUCUCCGGAUGAAGAUCUGGUCAUGAAGAUGAUUUAAACAAUUAUAAGUGUUGCCAGUCCCCGACAACAGCGCUAAAACUGAUGGGUGUUGAAUCCACCAAUAUAAACCUAUGCCAAAUUUGCAAUUUAAGCAGUAUAGGGAGUAGGGUCGAUCCCUCAGAGACUGGGUUUACUGCAAAUUGUUUCUCUCUUGACCAGAUUUGUGUCUGGGAAGUUAUCGUACCCAAGAAAUUUAGGGGGAGGAUAAAAUUGAAAACCUGGAAGCUGAAAUAAACAGGGAAAAAAUGAGUGAAAAGUAAAGGCUGAAAAUAAAAUAAUAAAAACAGUUAAAUAAAUCUGAAGAAAAAUUAAUUAAACUAAGCUCAGCUUUAAGCACAGAUUUUUCCUCGUCUUUGAAUCGAUCCUCGAAAUUAAAUAACUCUUUUUUUCCAAUAAGCUAGUUAUAGCUUCCAAGGAUGCCUCACACACCAACUCUUCUUUGUGUAAAUUAGUUAUGUAACGUCUUAUAACUAACCCUUACCGAUCGAACAACCAACAAAACGUUCGUGAUUUAGAACUCCAGCAGCUUUGCGUUCUAGAAGAGCCUAGCUCGAAACAAGGUCCUCAACCGCGUGGGACAUUUAAAUCCAGUUACUAGUUCCCUUAACGGACCCAAACAACAAUCUCCACUUGGCACGUCAAUGUGUUCACAGAAAACCGAUUAGACAACCGGUCCUUUCAGAAUUCCAACUGUACGUCUAACCAAACUAAAUCAAACGACGUCUUUUUUGACUUAAUGCUGAUCUGACUUUGUGAGUUUACAAAAUCAUACCCUUAAUCCGGAGAAAUAAUAAGUACUGGAAUUUAGGAGUUAAAUUGCUCGGGUUCGUAACUCACAGGUUUUGAUAAGGCUAAUUUCGACCUAAAGCUGAAAAUAGAUUUAGUUAACUAAGGUUUUGGACAUAUUGGAGUUGGAUAAAUUAAAUAAGGUAAAAAUGGGUGAAACGAAUGGGUGGCGUGAUUAAGUAUGGAGGCUGGAUUUUGGUAGUGUAUUAAAGUGGGAUGGUUAGCUACUGGAAAUGAAAAUGAAGUUUGAAAAAGAAAUUGUAAAUGGUUUAAGUGGUAACAAG